ACAAUGGGCGAAAGCCUGAUCCAGCAAUGCCGCGUGUAGGAUGAAGGCCCUCGGGUUGUAAACUACUUUUGUACGGAACGAAAAGACUCUUUCUAAUAAAGAGGGUCCAUGACGGUACCGUAAGAAUAAGCACCGGCUAACUAC
RNAcentral lists this ribosomal RNA (144 nucleotides) under Comamonadaceae bacterium. RNAcentral's name for it is "partial 16S ribosomal RNA". It matches the Rfam family "Bacterial small subunit ribosomal RNA", at positions 368 to 504 of the family's 1533-position model. The record is from RNAcentral. Lineage: Bacteria; Pseudomonadati; Pseudomonadota; Betaproteobacteria; Burkholderiales; Comamonadaceae.